UGGGGAAUAUUGCACAAUGGGGGAAACCCUGAUGCAGCGACGCCGCGUGAGUGAAGAAGUAUCUCGGUACGUAAAGCUCUAUCAGCAGGGAAGAAAAUGACGGUACCUGACUAAGAAGCCCCGGCUAACUACGUGCCAGCAGCCGCGGUAAUACGUAGGGGGCAAGCGUUAUCCGGAUUUACUGGGUGUAAAGGGAGCGUAGACGGCAGCACAAGUCUGGAGUGAAAUCCCGGGGCUUAACCCCGGAACUGCUUUGGAAACUGUGCGGCUGGAGUGCAGGAGGGGUAAGCGGAAUUCCUAGUGUAGCGGUGAAAUGCGUAGAUAUUAGGAGGAACACCAGUGGCGAAGGCGGCUUACUGGACUGUAACUGACGUUGAGGCUCGAAAGCGUGGGGAGCAAACAGG
This 404-nucleotide ribosomal RNA is filed under the name uncultured bacterium. RNAcentral's name for it is "bacterial SSU rRNA". It matches the Rfam family "Bacterial small subunit ribosomal RNA", at positions 355 to 776 of the family's 1533-position model. The record is from RNAcentral.